AACUAUUUAAACGGUAAUUUCUAAAGAUAGAAAGUGUUCGUUAUCAGCCGUACGCUAUAAACUUUCUAGUCGGCAAAAAUAAACGUGCAAAAUAUAAGGCAUAUUUUUGCACUUGCUUGAAAAAGGCGGAUCGGUUGAAUGAUGUUUUUUUGUCGUUUUACCAAGAAUUGGUCCCGAAGGCAAUUUAGUCAGUUUUGAAUUUUGCCAAACAAUUCAGAGCUAUAUGUGCAAACGUACGCAUUUCGUUCACGCAUAGCAAUGGAUAUUAAAAGAAACCGAUUUAAAGUAGAUACGGGCAAAAGAUGGGAAAGUUCUCAACAUAAAACGUUUGAAUGCCUUUCUACAGUCCCAAGGUGUUAUUGAUCAGACCAGUUCACAUUAUUAGCCUCCGCGCAAGAAAGCGCCCAUAUGAAAGCAUUGGAUACGUGUGACCGGUACUUUCAUUUUUUCUACAGAUACUGGAAGAUCAUCGAUAGGAUAUAUUUGAAAAUUUUGAUUCUAUUUAACCUGGUUUCGUUUAUAAGUAAUGAGCAAGAAACCAAUUUUUUUGUGGUUUUGAAACAGCAGGUGUUAUCACUUAAACUGAUACUAGGUAUGUGUGUUUCAACCGUGUCUUCAGUGGCAGUGAGGGCAAAAGCUUCGAAUACUUCGAAAAUUACAAAGGCUUUGACAAAAUAAAUAUACUCUCAUUCUUCGGUGGCGGAAAUCAAAACAACAUGACGACUCUGCUAGCAGAGAAGAAUAUAUAUAUUUUUUAUAAGAAUAUAUUUCUCGUUAUAUAUU
Molecule: long non-coding RNA, 783 nt
Organism: Glossina fuscipes
Lineage: Eukaryota; Metazoa; Arthropoda; Insecta; Diptera; Glossinidae
Exons: 4
Source: RefSeq, a predicted model, not a curated record